AGUGAACGCUGGCGGUAGGCCUAACACAUGCAAGUCGAACGGCAGCACAGUAAGAGCUUGCUCUUACGGGUGGCGAGUGGCGGACGGGUGAGGAAUACAUCGGAAUCUACUUUUUCGUGGGGGAUAACGUAGGGAAACUUACGCUAAUACCGCAUACGGCCUACGGGUGAAAGCAGGGGAUCUUCGGACCUUGCGCGAUUGAAUGAGCCGAUGUCGGAUUAGCUAGUUGGCGGGGUAAAGGCCCACCAAGGCGACGAUCCGUAGCUGGUCUGAGAGGAUGAUCAGCCACACUGGAACUGAGACACGGCCCAGACUCCUACGGGAGGCAGCAGUGGGGAAUAUUGGACAAAGGGCGCAAGCCUGAUCCAGCCAUACCGCGGGGGUGAAGAAGGCCUUCGGGUUGUAAAGCCCUUUUGUUGGGAAAGAAAAGCAGCAGGUUAAUACCCCGCUGUUCUGACGGUACCCAAAGAAUAAGCACCGGCUAACUUCGUG
RNAcentral lists this ribosomal RNA (492 nucleotides) under uncultured bacterium. Its description in RNAcentral is "partial 16S ribosomal RNA". It matches the Rfam family "Bacterial small subunit ribosomal RNA", at positions 29 to 507 of the family's 1533-position model. The record is from RNAcentral.